AUCGGGGCGCCAAGAAAAAGAGGAAUUAGGCCAUCACCAAUGUAGCCUGUAUUAAGACACAAACAAAAACUUCACGUAUCGAUCGGUACUUGGUAAGCAGAAAAAUGCUCCUUGAAAGCCAAAUCGGAGAUCGACCAGACACCGAAAACCCCCAAAACCCCAACAAAAAGUCUUAAGCCCUUCUCACUUCUGCGUCCUCCGCUCAAUUACUCUCCAAAUCCCACCAACCAUCAAUGUCCGACCCAAGCUCCACCGCAGGCAACGGCAACUCCAACGGCAACUCCAACGACAACUCCGUCACCAAGACUGCCGGCUUAGUGGUGUUCUCCGGCAUCGCUAUGAGCAUUCUCAAAGCUCUAAACCCUUUUUAACAAAAACAGAAAUGAGCAAACUCCUCCACUCGCCGAGUCAACUCAACCCAUUCAGCUUCCGUCCCAGCUUCCUCUCCCUCCCCAGCAGCAACCCAUCACUGUCAAGGAACCACACCCUCCUCUUCGGAAAACCAUUACCAGGAUGGACCAAAAUGUGGAAGUCACGCGGAAGUCAUGGCAUAAAACGAUAGAGAUCGAGAAGGGAGACACUCUUUGGGGGCUCUCUAGAGAACAUGGGGUAAACCUUUUCAACUCUUUCAACUGUUAUGGUAUUACACGUGAUGUGGUGUUCUUAAGUUUAUACUUUUCUUUGAGAAUUUGCAUCCAUACGGUAAUUCUUGUGGUGUCGAAUUGCGCAUCUGGUAUUGAGAAGAAAAGAUCGGGCUUGCUUAGUUUACGAUUUUAAACCAUACGGUUUGUGAGAAAUAUGUUGGAUAGAUGUUGAAAACGCCUUUGACUUGCGCCGCCUUGUGAACUUGUGUUUUAAACCCCCAAAUAAAAGUAGCUGCCAAAUUUUAGACGGA
Long non-coding RNA from Malus domestica (apple), 895 nucleotides. RefSeq lists it as uncharacterized. The record is from RefSeq and is a predicted model, not a curated record. NCBI's taxonomy places the organism in Eukaryota, Viridiplantae, Streptophyta, Magnoliopsida, Rosales, Rosaceae.